RNAcentral lists this transfer RNA (71 nucleotides) under Loxodonta africana (African savanna elephant). It matches the Rfam family "tRNA". From Rfam's summary of the family: Transfer RNA (tRNA) molecules are approximately 80 nucleotides in length. The record is from Rfam by way of RNAcentral. Lineage: Eukaryota; Metazoa; Chordata; Mammalia; Proboscidea; Elephantidae.
ACAUUGGUGGUUCACUGGUAGGACUCUCCCCUUCCACGUGGGAGACCUGGAUUCAAUUCCCAUCCAGUGUU